This is a long non-coding RNA of Carassius carassius (crucian carp), 483 nucleotides long. RefSeq lists it as uncharacterized. The record is from RefSeq and is a predicted model, not a curated record. NCBI's taxonomy places the organism in Eukaryota, Metazoa, Chordata, Actinopteri, Cypriniformes, Cyprinidae. The transcript has 4 exons.
GCCGCCUUUGUUUAGCCGUUGAUGAUGAAGCCACGCCCACAAAUUGAGGCGCUACUUCUUUCGUUGACCAAAGUCUGUGACCUACACGAUGAAACUAGGCGGGACACAGAGAAGCUCAUUUCUUCAGCUCGACACGUUGAGCAGGUUGGUCACUUUUGCAGCACCAGAUGAAAGAUUGACGUUGAUGCUCUGUUAACUCAGGUUCCUGUGAAGCGUAGAGAUGAGGCAAAUCCGUGCUGGGAUUAUCUUCCACUUUCUCACCUCGCACAGGUGUGGAGAGCUGAUAUGGCCUAAAAACCCACAUGCUCCCAAUGCACCAUGGGAAGAAGCGGGACAGCUGUGAGAGGGAAGCCACAGAGCUCUUAUGAAAGAUCAAGGUUUGGCAAACUGCCUGAGGCCUGGCCUGUUUGUGCUAAGACUGACCGUCAAACUACCAAAGCCAGAUCACUGCGCUUCAAAGCCAUCCAGGAACGGAUGAAGACC